RNAcentral lists this long non-coding RNA (1206 nucleotides) under Coturnix japonica (Japanese quail). RNAcentral's name for it is "lncRNA (ENSCJPG00005010709.1)". Lineage: Eukaryota; Metazoa; Chordata; Aves; Galliformes; Phasianidae. The record is from RNAcentral.
GGAAGAAUGACUGAAUUUGUGUCAGUGUGUGAAUAGCAGUAAUAUAUUUCUGCCAGUAACAGCAGAGUAAUGUUCAGCAGCACAGCAGAACAGAACACUCCACACAGAAGAUGUAAGCAAAUAUGUAAGCACUAAAAAAUGGCUUAAUGUCAUGUUUGGGAGCAAAUGUUUCACUGACAAUAUCAGAAUCAAAAAAGGAAGUAAGAAGAUACAUGGGUGCCAAUAUAACUGACACUGAUAGGAAACCUAUCUCUCUUUGAGACCUUGUCUUUGUCUUCUCUGUUACUCAAAACCAGGCUUUGUUAUUCAAGAUCAGGACAAUGCUGCUGCUACAAAAGCAGCAUUCUCUUAAAUCUCAAGCACUGGAAAUAUCUUUCUGACUUACUAUGCCCUGAUCAUCAGUGAUACAGUCUGUAAUUGUUUCUCUCUGUUAGGUGGCACAGGCAGCAAGGAGACACGCAGAUGGAGUGUCAGGGUGACCCAGCCCUGGACACCAGCCUCCAUAUGAGGAGCUUUUGCUCCACAGGAACAAAGACAGCACCAACAGGAGAACUGAGAGGGCCUGAGGGAUGCUGCAUUUUCGUAAAUGAAGCAUCCACAGAGAUUGGUGGAUAUUUAUGCACCUGCAAAGGUGGGUCAGGGUCCCGGAUCCAGCCAACUACCAGCAAAAGCAGCAAAGCCUCACAUUUCCACUGGCCUGGCAGCAAGAUUCAGGAAUGUUUGCUUACAUAGACUGCUAUUAGCUGUUGUUCAUAGAGGAUCACUCAUCAUUCAGAGAAACAUUUGCAAGUUGCAGCACUUUCCAAACACAGAAAUGGAUCCCCAGUGCUGGGAUACACCACUCUUCAUGGUCCUCCCACUGCACUACACUGAAGACACUUCUCUGAGAUAAAGCCUUGUAUUUUGCUACCACAGGUAACUGGUCUGUAAAGUCCCCAUUGAGACAUCACCUCUACAAGUUGACUAUGUGUUGUUUUGUUCUUUUAUUCCACUUCAUCUGUUUCCUACUCUAGGUUAAACAGGAGAGGUGACAGCAUUCCCUACCAUGUUCUACAAAACCUCUAAAAUGCCAAAGCAGGUGGGAUGGAAGGAGUUUUCUUUGUCACAAAUUUUUGUGUCACAAGAGGGAACAAAGAACAGUUAACUGAAAGUGUUGAUUAGUGUGUAUCAUAUACUGCAUAAUUUGCUGCACCUGGAGUGAUUCAG